UACGUAGGGUGCAAGCGUUGUCCGGAAUUAUUGGGCGUAAAGAGCGUGUAGGCGGCCCCGUUAGUCCGCUGUGAAAGUCCAGGGCUCAACCCUGGAAUGCCGGUGGAUACUGUCGGGCUUGAGUACGGGAGAGGCGAGUGGAAUUCCUGGUGUAGCGGUGAAAUGCGCAGAUAUCAGGAGGAACACCGAUUGCGAAGGCAGCUCGCUGGAACGUUACUGACGCUGAGACGCGAAAGCGUGGGUAGCAAACAGG
RNAcentral lists this ribosomal RNA (253 nucleotides) under uncultured bacterium. RNAcentral's name for it is "partial 16S ribosomal RNA". It matches the Rfam family "Bacterial small subunit ribosomal RNA", at positions 524 to 776 of the family's 1533-position model. The record is from RNAcentral.